CCUAGGGGAGGCAGCAGUGGGGAAUAUUGCACAAUGGGGGAAACUCUGAUGCAGCGACGCCGCGUGAGUGAAGAAGUAUUUCGGUACGUAAAGCUCUAUCAGCAGGGAAGAAAAACCGGCCUUAGGGCCGCCCGUCGGUACCUGACUAAGAAGCCACGGCUAACUACGUGCCAGCAGCCGCGGUAAUACGUAGGGGGCAAGCGUUAUCCGGAUUUACUGGGGGUAAAGGGAGCGUAGACGGCAGCUCAAGUCUGGAGUGAAAUGCCGGGGCCCAACCCCGGAACUGCUUUGGAAACUGGGCAGCUGGAGUGCAGGAGAGGUAAGCGGAAUUCCUAGUGUAGCGGUGAAAUGCGUAGAUAUUAGGAGGAACACCAGUGGCGAAGGCGGCUUACUGGACUGUAACUGACGUUGAGGCUCGAAAGCGUGGGGAGCAAACAGGAGUAGAUACCCGUGUAGUC
RNAcentral lists this ribosomal RNA (458 nucleotides) under uncultured bacterium. Its description in RNAcentral is "partial 16S ribosomal RNA". It matches the Rfam family "Bacterial small subunit ribosomal RNA", at positions 338 to 795 of the family's 1533-position model. The record is from RNAcentral.